GACGACGCUGGCGGCGUGGAUUAGGCAUGCAAGUCGAACGGUAUCAUCCUUCGGGGGUGAGAGAGUGGCGAACUGGUGAGUAACACGUAGGUUAUCUACCCUCAAGACGGGGACAACCCAGGGAAACUUGGGCUAAUACCGGAUGUGAGCAACUUUUAGUUGUUUGAAAGGUGGCGUAAGCUGUCGCUUGGGGAUGAGCCUGCGUCCUAUUAGUUAGUUGGUGAGGUAACGGCUCACCUAGGCAAUGAUAGGUAGGCGGCCUUAACGGGUGGUCGCCCACACUGGGAUUGAGAUACGGCCCAGACUCCUACGGGAGGCAGCAGUCGAGAAUAGUCUACAAUGGCCGAAAGGCUGAUAGUGCGACGCCGCGUGAACGAAGAAGCCCUUCGGGGUGUAAAGUUCUUUUAUAUGUGAGCAGUGCUUUCUAUGUGAACAGCAUGGGGAGAGAGAUAUUAGCAUAUGAAUAAGCAACGGCUAACUCCGUG
Molecule: ribosomal RNA, 485 nt
Filed under: uncultured bacterium
Lineage: Bacteria
Description: bacterial SSU rRNA
Rfam family: Bacterial small subunit ribosomal RNA
Source: RNAcentral